UACAGAGGGGGCAAGCGUUGUUCGGAAUUACUGGGCGUAAAGGGCGCGUAGGCGGCCUGUUAAGUCGAACGUGAAAUCCCCGGGCUCAACCCGGGAACUGCGUCCGAUACUGGAUGGCUUGAGUUUGGGAGAGGGAUGCGGAAUUCCAGGUGUAGCGGUGAAAUGCGUAGAUAUCUGGAGGAACACCGGUGGCGAAGGCGGCAUCCUGGACCAACACUGACGCUGAGUGAGCGAAAGCCAGGGGAGCAAACGGG
RNAcentral lists this ribosomal RNA (254 nucleotides) under uncultured bacterium. RNAcentral's name for it is "partial 16S ribosomal RNA". It matches the Rfam family "Bacterial small subunit ribosomal RNA", at positions 524 to 776 of the family's 1533-position model. The record is from RNAcentral.